Molecule: long non-coding RNA, 6708 nt
Filed under: Citrus x clementina
Lineage: Eukaryota; Viridiplantae; Streptophyta; Magnoliopsida; Sapindales; Rutaceae
Description: Citrus clementina (C. clementina) long non-coding RNA (CCLE_LNC004064)
Source: RNAcentral
GAAAGUGUCACCAUGUUUUAGCAUUUAUGUUAUUCUUUCUUUCAUACUUGAGACAACUAAUUCAUCUCCAAUUGGUGGGCCAAGCAAGCAUCCAAGUGGUUUUAGGGCUUUUGAGAUGAUGCUUAGCAUUUAGCUUCCUCUAGUAAAGCCACUUCUUAAACUAGUUUUGAUAACCCUCGGUCACCUCCUCUAUAUACCAGGUGUAGUUUUCUUUCGAUUAUGACAAGACCAAGAUCUAUAGCUGCCAUGAUGUCUUCAUAUUUGCCAUAGUGAAACCCAGAAAGCACACAAAUAUUUUUGAGUUGUCUGCUCGAAGUCGGUGCCAUUGAAAAAAAUCUUAAAAAUAAUUCAUGAAUGCUUGAAAAACAAUGCUUGUAUUUAAAGAUUUUGGUGACAGAUAUAAUGAUACACAACUAUAAAUGGGUUGUUCGAUUUGUCAAAUGAUGCGUGAACCUCAUAGCUUAAUUAUUCAAAAACAAACAGUAAAAAGAAACAAACAAUGAUUGGAUAGAAAUCACACAAUUAAAAGCAAUAAUACAAAUAAUAAAUCAAAAGGAUAUGUAUUGGUAGUUGUAAUUAUGGCUCACAUCUUCCUCUGGUUUUGCAUCUAGAAACAAGUUGAACACACUCUAUGAGUUUAAAAUAGGCUUUCCAUCUAGUUUUUCCAUCCCGAGAUUGUAUCGUGCACGUUCUUUUUGGAAUAAUAGCCAUAAUGGAAAAUUACAUACUGUACGUAUCCACUGGGAUGGGUUUCAAGAGAUAAAAGGAUAUCAUCCAAUGAUUUUUUAUUCAAGUCAUCCCUAAUGAAUUUAAUCUUAUCUUCCUUAUUAUUGGACAACAUUCCUAAAGAAGUAUAUGGUUGUUUUUGUAACAUUGCAUUCUGGCAUAUUUACGACAAGAAACUAGAAGCCGUGUAGCUUUUUGUUUUCUUGCAUAAUUUUCUUUCCCCCAACCGGACAUGUAGGCAAAAAAUUUAGGAGGUAAUUCCCCUGCUAAUCGUACUUUAGUUUCAUUUAACCAACGAAUGUCAAUAAGGAUGUUAUUCUUCAUAAGCAGGCGUAUACAUUUAGAUCAAGCUUUGUAGAUUGUGAGGAGCACAUUUUGAGGAAGAUGAGGCAAUCGCUUGUGAAGCUUUGCUGGAGCUAUUUUCCUAUCCAUAUCUUGGCUGAAGAAUAUCGAUUAUUGUGCGAAAUUGAAGGAACCGCCUUCAAUAGUCACAUAGUAUUGUUAUCCACCACUUAAUUAAGGUGACCAAAGAAAAGAAUAAAUCUCAAGUUUUGAUUGGAUUAAAUAUCGCCUUCUAUUUCCUUGAGUUGUCUUUCUAGCUCUUUAACAUGAGAUACUAACUCUAGUGGUCAUAGAGCCCAAACAAGAUGUGAUUAACAAAAUUGGAUCAAGCCGUUUAAAUAACGCUUGACACGUAGAAGCACUUAAGGUGGUUGAAGAGGAUUUGUCUCACAGAGGUACUCAUGAUGUAUAGCACAAGUGAUGAAAGAGAAAAUAAUUGUUAAACAAAAGCACUUUAACAAAUAAUUUUAAUUUGCAAAAAAAUAGUUAAAGAAAAUUAAAAAAAGUUAAAUCACCGAAAAUAAAUAGAAAAAAAAUCUCAGUCUAGAUAUGAUGGGUCACUUAAAUUUAUUUUACUGUCUUCUUCAUGUGGUUGGUACUUGAGAUAUGUUUUUACAUCUCUGACCAUUAACUCUAAAAAUGACACCAUUUUUUGGAUUCUUAGUUUUAAUGAUCCCAUGUGGAAAAACAAUGUGCACAGUAAAUGGACUUGACCAUUGAAAGCGUAAUAUAUCUGAGGAGAUGUCCAAGCGAGAAUUGAAUAAAAAUAUUUUCUAACCUAGUGUGAAAGAUUUUCUCAUAAUUUUCUUGUCAUUAAAGACUUUCAUCCGCUUCUUGCAAUCCUUAGUAUUUUUAUCGUUGCGACUCUCCUCAGGUUUUGCCAACUAUAAUCUCCUUUUUAAAAAAUAGAUGGGAUAAAUGAUAUUUGGAUUAUUUUGUUUGUCGUCAAGGGAGGACGAGAUGAUUUCUGACAAUGUGUUUUCUUCUCCCAAGAAUGCAUACUCUAAAAUGUCAUGUAACAGAUUCUGCUCGAGUUUUGGUGAUGAUUUUGAUGAUGGGGUGUGAUUUUUCCUCGAUGGUGCCAAUUGCUCUAUCUUUGACUUCUAUUUGUCAAUAUCCAUGCAUGGUAAUGAAUCCAAUAAGACAUUCACCUCAUCAAUUGGUGGGAAUGAAUUAAAGAUGAAAACAAUGCAUAUGAAACGCUUGAGUCUCUAGAUUCACACUCAAGAUUUCACCAUGAGCUUAAUUCCUUUUAGUUCUAAUUAAUUCACGAGGGGGGUAUUUUCACUCCUCAUAAUCCUUACUGUAAUAAAUAUGGUAUCAACCGAUCAGUGUGCCAAAGGGUAAUGAUCUUCCACUAAGUGUCUAUCGACAAUGAGCCAAAGCAACCAUAUAAAUUAGAGAGGAAAAGAAAAUAAACUUACCAAACUAAGCUCAUAGAUCAUGUUGAGGCUUUACCUUCAACCAAAACUUAAAACUAAAUUGGUCAUUCAUAAUUGAACUAGAGGUAAAAUGAUAAUUUUAUUAAAAUACAUAGAAAAUAUAAAAAUGGAGGGAGAGUUACAGAAAAUGGAGUUCAAAAAUGGAUUCAGGGGUGUUAAAUUAAGAGGGAAUCCGUUAUUUAUAGAUACAAUCGAAUGAAAACAAUUCAGACACUCAGGAUUGGACCACGUUGCAAGCUUUGAUUUGGCUGGAACACAUCAUCAGUCAAUACCAUAUCUGUAUUUUAGUCCAAUAAUAUGCUACCACAUCAUCGGUCAAUGUCACAUCAGCAUUUCGGUCCAAUAGAAUCCUACCACAUCAUUGGUCAACGCCAUAUUAUCAGUCAAUGUCAAAUCAUUAGUCCAAUAGGAUGCUGCCACAUCAUCGGUCAAUGCCAUGUCAUCAUACAGUAUAUGUGAACAAUGCAGUACUUGUGAAUAGUAUCGUAUAUGUGAGCAAUAUCAAUACCCCAUUAUGCUCAUUUUAAGGUUUUAAACCAUUCCAUAUUUAAAAAUACUAUCCGUUUUACUGUUUGAAUUUUCAUUAGUCAUGAAAUGGUCAAAAUACUUAAAUUAUGAUAAAACACAUAUAAUAAAAGUUUAGAGGAUUUAAACACAUAAGAGUAGAAAUGUUAAUGAGACUUGGAUCACAAAAUGAUAAUUUAUAAAAAUGCAUUCUCCAGUACUCAACAAUUCACAAGCUUUUGAUGAAAUUAUUCUUGGGUUUAAUGAGGUUGGACCAUGCUCAUAUUUUGGGGAGGUUUAUAUUAAUUUUGCUUAACCUUUUCUAUUUAUAUAAUUAAGUGCUUUUGAUUUUGCUAACAAAUUCUUGUAAAAUGAGUGUAAUAUAAUCCAAAAUAAUUUAAGCAAUAAUCUGUAUUAAUUGAUAUUUAAAAUAAAAUAUUUACAAAUUACCACUUGAAUUUAAAUUUUUUAUUUUUUUGGUAAUUUAAAAUUGUCACCAUAGUUUGUAUUGUUUGAAAAAUUAAACAAACUAUAAAAUAAUAAAAGUGAUAAAUAAUUUCUUGGAGUAUGAAAUAAUAAUCAGUUCUACAUAUGAGAGGUUUGUAUUAUUUUCGAGCAACAAAAUCGCCUUCAACUCUAGCAACAACGACUUAUCGAAGGCAGAAAGUUUCCCCAAACCAAGAGGCUAGCUACUUGGUCCAAGCGGCUAACUGCUUCGAAGGCAGAGAGUCUACAUGCCCAACAUGUAGCAGUUAGCCUUAUAUAUUACCAGCUAGCUGAUUGCUCAACUUAAGUCAGGGGAACAACUUUCACUUCAUCUUCUUCAUCAGUUUUUUCACUCUCUGUCUAAACCACAAACCUUAUUUCACUCUCUUUUUGAAAAUUGUCCUUCAUUUAUGCUUUCUUGCAAUUUUAAUAUUUCCCAAUCAUUAUUCAUCACUUCAACUUCAUUAUCCAUGAUUUAAAACAUGAUUUCAUCACUCAUUUUUUAAAUUCCCAAAUUUUUUUAAAAAAAAUCCUAGGUUGGCCAAAACAAAAUCCUUCCAAUUGCCCCAACUUUGACCAUUUUUCCAUCAAAUUACAUCUACUACGUGUUGUGCACAUAGAUAUUGUAAGGAUUGGUUUUCUUUUGCAUUACGUAUAUUCUUUUUUGUCCCAAUUUCAUGUUUUGGUUAUGUGGAAGGUAGGGGAGGAUUCUUUUACGAUGUGGUUAAGUUACUCAGUAAUAUAACUUACAUCAUCAACUCAACUUAUAUCUAAUAACCCCAAGAGUGCUUUGACAAUUAAGAGUUUAAUUACAGGCAACUCAAGCUAUGUCUAAUAACCUAAGAGUGCUUUCAAAAUUAAGAGUUUAAUUAUCACCUGUAUCGAAAGUUAUUGGUACAUUUAUACACAAAUGAGUGGAACUAAUUUUUUCUAGUACACAAAUAAUUCUUAGUCAAUUAAAUAAAAUUCGAGCAAGUCCUUCGAUCAUAAAUGCAUUUCGCGUUCAUUUACAUUUUGAUGAUUAUAGGAGAAACAAUUGAUAAUUUUGAGCGACCAUAAGAGGAAAGAAUUGAUGUUUAGAGAAGUCUCUUAUUCUUAGAAAAAGAAAGCAGUAGUAGAUAAAUUUUCAUGAAGCAUAUUGAACAUGGUCUGUUGUAUUCUGUAGCAAUGAUGGAAAGUUCAGAAUUGUAACAAAAUCUUGCAAACUAUAGGAUAUAAAAUUUUCGUCACAAGAUGUCUACUAAAUAAAAUUGAAGAUAUAUGGUGUACAUUGCAUUAAUUUUGACAUAAUCAUGAACUUGCAACAUGACAUUUGAUAUAUGUGACAGACGAUGUUUUUUUUUUUUUUAUAGAGACAGACAAUAUUGUACAUGAACCAUAAACAUCAAACAUGAAACAGAUAGGAAUGAAAAAAAUUUUGGCACCAUUUUUUAUGACUUGCAACAAUGGAAGUCAAAUAUGCAAUACGUGAAGUAAACAUGCAACAUAAAAUCUACUUGCAAAAAAAUUACAUGAAACAUGCAACAACUAAGGUUAAACAUGAAACAACUGAGAUUAAACAUGAGUACGAUGUAAACAUGCAAUAAAUCACAUUAAAUAUGCAACAAUUGAGGUCAAACAUGCAACAUAGAUGUCAAACAUGAAAUGGGUGGAAAAAUUCUCAUUUUUGACUUUAUUCAAAACAUGCAAUAAUUGAAGUGAAACAUGCAACAUGUGGUGUAAACAUACAACAUGAAAUUUGCAUGUGAAAAAAUUACGUGAAAUAUGCACCAACUGAGGUUAAACAUGAGUACGAUGUAAACAUGCAAUAGAUCACGUGAAACAUUGAACAACUGAGGUCAAACAUGCAACAUGAAUGUUAAACAUGAAACAUGUGAUAAAAUCCUCAUUUUUUGGCUAUAUUCAGGACAUGAAACAAUUAAAGUCAAACAUGCAACAUGUGAUGUAAACAUGCAACUUAAAAUUGACAUAUAAAAAGAUUAUAUAAAACAUACAACAACUAAGGUCAAACAUACAACAACUAACGCCAAACAUGCAACAACUAAGGUUAAAUAUGAGUAAGAUUUAAAUAUGCAAUAAAUCACGUAAAACAUACAAAGACUGAGUAAAAAUGCAACAUGAACGUCAAACAUGAAACGAGUGGAAAAUUCUCAUUUUUUUUUUUUUUGCUUUAUUCAAGACAUGAAACAAUUGAAAUCAAACAUGCAACAUGUGAUACAAACAUGCAACAUGAAAUUUGCGUGUUUUAUAUAUAUAUAUAAUAUGCAACAAUUGAGAUCAAACAUGCAACAACUAAAAUUAAACAUCCAACAACUGAGGUUAAAUAUGAGUACGAUUUAAACAUGCAAAAGAUCACGUGAAACAUGCAAUAACUAAGGUCAAACAUGUAACAGGGACAUUAAACAUGAAAUGAGCGGGAAAAUUAUUAUUUUUUAGCUUUAUUCAAGACAUGAAACAAUUAAAGUCAAACAUGCAACUAGUGAUGUAAACAUGCAACAUAAAAUUUACAUAUAAAAAAUUUACAUGAAACUAGCAACAAUUGGGAUUAAACAUAAAUACGACAUAAACAUACAACAGAUCACGUGAAACAUGCAACAACUGAGAUCAAACAUGCAACAUAGACAUCAACAAUGGGUGGGAAAUUCCUCAUUUUUAUCUUUAUUAAGGACAUACAACAAUUGAAAUCAAAUUUGCAAUAUGUGAUGUAAACAUGUAACAUAAAACUUGCAUGUAAAAAAAUUACAUGAAACAUGCAACAACUAAGGUUAAGAAUGAGUAUGACGUAAAAAUGCAACAGAUCACGUGAAACAUGAAACAAUUGAGGUCAAACAUGUAACAUAAAUGUUAAACAUGAAAUAUGUAGAAAAUUCCUUAGUUUUUGGCUUUACUCAAGACAUGCAACAAUUGAAGUCAAAACACAACAUGUGAUGUAAGCAUGCAAUAUAAAAUUUAUAUGUGAAAAAUUAUAUGAAAACAUGCAAAAACUGAUGUUAAACAUGUAACAGCUGUAGUUAAAUAUGAGUACGACGUAAACAUAUAACAGAAUAGGUGAUAUAUGUGACAGACGAUGUUUAACAUGCAACAUGGAUAUCAUACAUGAAAUGACAGGAAAAUAAAUUUUUAGAGUAUUUAGAAUAAUAAAGUUGAGAUAAGUGAUGGUAUACUUGAAAAUUUUGAUGUUAAAUAUAAGAAAUCUCAUAUUAAAUAA